UGGGGAAUUUUGGACAAUGGGGGAAACCCUGAUCCAGCCAUCCCGCGUGUGCGAUGAAGGCCUUCGGGCUGUAAAGCACUUUUGGCAGGAAAGAAACGUCAUGGGUUAAUACCCCGUGAAACUGACGGUACCUGCAGAAUAAGCACCGGCUAACUACGUGCCAGCAGCCGCGGUAAUACGUAGGGUGCAAGCGUUAAUCGGAAUUACUGGGCGUAAAGCGUGCGCAGGCGGUUCGGAAAGAAAGAUGUGAAAUCCCAGAGCUCAACUUAGGACCUGCAUUUUUAACUGCCGGGCUAGAGUGUGUCAGAGGGGGGUGGACUUCGGCGUGUAGCAGUGAAGUACGUAGAUAUGCGGAGGAACACCGAUGGCGAAGGCAGCCUCCUGGGAUAACACUGACGCUCAUGCACGAAAGCGUGGCGAGCAAACAGG
This 429-nucleotide ribosomal RNA is filed under the name Acidobacteriota bacterium. Its description in RNAcentral is "Acidobacteria bacterium partial 16S ribosomal RNA". It matches the Rfam family "Bacterial small subunit ribosomal RNA", at positions 355 to 776 of the family's 1533-position model. Lineage: Bacteria; Pseudomonadati; Acidobacteriota. The record is from RNAcentral.